GAUGAAGAACGCAGCGAAAUGCGAUAAGUAAUGUGAAUUGCAGAAUUCAGUGAAUCAUCGAAUCUUUGAACGCACAUUGCGCCCGCCAGUAUUCUGGCGGGCAUGCCUGUUCGAGCGUCAUUACAACCCUCAGGCCCCCGGGCCUGGCGUUGGGGAUCGGCGGAGCCCCCCGUGGGCACACGCCGUCCCCCAAAUGCAGUGGCGGUCCCGUCGCAGCUUCCAUCGCGUAGUAGCUAACACCUCGCGACUGGAGAGCGGCGCGGCCACGCCGUAAAACACCCAACUCUUCUGAAGUUGACCUCGAAUCAGGUAGGAAUACCCGCUGAACUUAAGCAUAUCAAUAAGCGGAGGA
This 352-nucleotide unclassified non-coding RNA is filed under the name soil metagenome. RNAcentral's name for it is "partial contains 5.8S ribosomal RNA, internal transcribed spacer 2, and large subunit ribosomal RNA". The stretch from base 1 to 120 matches the Rfam family "5.8S ribosomal RNA", at positions 35 to 154 of the family's 154-position model. The record is from RNAcentral.